RNAcentral lists this long non-coding RNA (13235 nucleotides) under Cucumis sativus (cucumber). Its description in RNAcentral is "long non-coding RNA (CSAT_LNC002011)". Lineage: Eukaryota; Viridiplantae; Streptophyta; Magnoliopsida; Cucurbitales; Cucurbitaceae. The record is from RNAcentral.
CCGUUCUUCAAAAACUUGGGCUCUUUCUCCAGUUCUUUACCAGAUCGCCUGUCAAUCUUAGUUAAAAUCUCGGCAAAUUUGACAGCAAUGUGAGAUGUGUGGCAAUCGAGUACAGGUGCAUAACCAUUUCCAAUCUGUCCUGGAUGGUUCAUGAUGAUAACUUGGGACGUGAAAUUGGCAGCUUCCUUGGCAGGAUCAUCCUUGGAAUUUGAGGCAACAUAACCACGCUUGAGAUCCUUCACAGCAACAUUCUUCACGUUGAACCCCACGUUGUCACCAGGGAGAGCUUCUUGGAGAGCUUCGUGGUGCAUCUCCACAGACUUAACUUCAGUAGUCAGUCCAGAUGGAGCAAAGGUUACCACCAUACCAGGCUUUAUAAUGCCAGUUUCAACACGACCCACUGGAACAGUUCCAAUACCUCCAAUCUUGUAGACAUCCUGAAGUGGAAGACGAAGGGGUUUGUCAGAUGGCCUCUUAGGCUCUUGGAUCAGAUCGAGAGCCUCAAGAAGGGUCGGUCCCUUGUACCAGUCGAGGUUGGUGGAUCUUUCAAUCAUGUUGUCACCCUCAAAGCCAGAGAUGGGGACGAAGGGAAUUUUUUCUGGGUUGUAGCCAACCUUCUUGAGGUAGGAAGAAACUUCCUUCACAAUUUCAUCGUACCUAGAUUUCGAGUACUUGGGCGUGGUGGCAUCCAUCUGUCACAUAAAUAGCCAAGUCAGUAAGUAACAAAACACGAAAAAACCAGAAUACUAAAGAAUCAGGAUUGACUAUAAACAUCAUUACCUUGUUACAGCAGCAAAUCAUUUGCUUGACACCAAGGGUAAAGGCAAGAAGGGCGUGUUCACGGGUCUGCCCAUCCUUAGAAAUACCAGCUUCAAAACCUCCAGUAGUGGAGUCGAUAAUAAGAACAGCACAGUCAGCCUGGGAAGUACCAGUAAUCAUGUUCUUGAUGAAAUCACGAUGCCCAGGGGCAUCAAUCACAGUGCAGUAAUACUUGGUGGUCUCGAACUUCCACAGAGCAAUAUCAAUUGUGAUACCACGCUCACGUUCGGCCUUAAGUUUGUCCAACACCCAGGCAUACUUGAACGAUCUCUUGUUCAUCUCAGCAGCUUCCUUCUCAAACCUCUCAAUAACACGCUUGUCAAUACCUCCAAGCUUGUAAAUCAAAUGGCCAGUAGUGGUCGACUUGCCAGAGUCGACAUGACCAAUGACCACAAUGUUGAUGUGAGUCUUUUCCUUACCCAUGCUUGAAUAUUAGGUCAAAGAACUGCGAAACAAGAAAAAGUUCACGAAAAAUAAGAAGAGCAAGAGCAGAUAACCAAAAUAUCAUUACUAAAAUUUGUGAAUAACCCUAAUUUUGUUAGAUUCACACAUCUAAAUAACGUUAAAAUUAAAAUAUCCACCACAAUAUCAACUCUUUUGGCUGGAAAACUUGUUGGUUAUAAAAAAAUGAUCGGAACUAGAACAGAGAAAAUAAAUAAAUAAAAAAAAACGAAAAACGACCAACCCAAUCAGCUAGACUAGAUUAAAAGCAGAUCUACGCGAUUGGCAGAACGACAGGGGACGUCUCGAUAGAUUGAUGAACAGAUACAUAAAACUAGCAUAAAAACAAAAGGGCAGGGACAAGAAGAAGAACAGAAGAAAUUAUAAUUCAUGCUAGGAUCUAGACGAGAAAAACAGUAAAAGCUAAAGAAAUAAGAGAGUAUCAAGCAUAUAGAAGAAAGAAAUCGAGAAAAGGAAGAAGAUAGGGGGAAAGCACAACCUGAGGAGAAAUGCUGCUGUUAAACCCUUGCGGCGAGAGAUGGAGAAUGGCAAUGGGAUUGAAGGGGUUAACAAUAGGGUUUGAGGAUCCUUAUAUAUGCAAUGUCUGAAUUCCUUUGUUGACGAAAAUACCCUUAUCAUAAUUUCAACAUUCCUACACAGUGGCUCUCAACAAUAAAAGAUUUUCGAAUUUACCUACUAGAUUCCAAAUAAAAUAAAGUAACAUUUUAGAAUAUAGUAAAAUUUGUCAAAUUCUAUCAAUGAUAUAAAUGUAUCAACGAUAGACAUGUUACAAAUAUUAGUCUAUCACUAAUAGACCAUACGAAGUCUAUAGUUUUGUUAUAUUUGCAAUUUUUUAAAAAUGUUAAUAUAUUAUUAAUUACUAUUCAUAAAAUGAUCAUCAACUACGAUUUUUAAAAAAAGUUCUUUUUUUCUCAACUUUCCAUUUCAAGUUAAAGGUUUAAAAAAUAUCAUCAAAACUCUUGGAAAGGUUAAAAAACAUGUUUAAAAAAUAUAACUAUUAAAAGUUUCAAAAAUUCCCUUGAAUUUAAAAAAUGUUAAAGGAAAAACUUUCUUAAAAUGUAAUAUGAACUAAAAGUGUAAUAUCUCGCUAAAAAAUAACUUUAAAUUAAAAAUGUCUUUAUCGUUAAUACAUUGAAAAUUUUAUUUGAAUUUGUUAAGUUUGAUUAGAUUGACAAAUAUUUGUUUUAUGGCUUUAGAUAUAAAAAUUGUGACAUUGAUGUUAUUUUUAAAAAAUGGAUGAUCUACCAAAAUGUUGAUUAUCCAAUAUACUUUUCCUACGAGUAGUUGUGUUUUCAAUUUCUCAUGUUGGCAUCUUCCUUUAUGUAGCGUGUAGUUGCUUUGGAGGUUAGGGUUGCUUAUUUGUGAUUUCACUGUGCAUAUUUCAAGGACACUUAGUUCUAAGGUUUGGGUUUUGGCGGUUUAGUUUGUUUUAAUAGCAACAUUUGUAUUGUCUUUAUGUAGUAUUUUCAGCUUGUGUUAGAAGAAGAGAGUGCUACGUGUAUUUGAGGCAUACUCCAUUCUCCCUACUACUGUGCAUUGUGAUGUACUGAGAAGAGAUUAUUUAUGUUUAGGGGAUCUUAAAUAUACCAACGAGAUAUUAACAGUUUCAAAUAAAUUUAUUACUAUACUAACGAUAGAGAUAUUUUUAAUUAUUUAGAGUUAGUUUUUGCAACGAGAUAUUAACAAUUUUAGAUCAUAUACUAAUUGUGAGAGUAAAUUUAAAAGAAUAUAUAAUUUAAGGGUGUUUUUUAAAUUUUUCAAUAAUUGAGGAAUAUUUUUAACAAAACUUUAACCUUCUACAUCCAAAACUAACAUUAAGGGUAUUUUCGAACCCUUUUCGAAAGUUUGAGAGUAUUUUUUAAACUGUUGAAAGUUUAGGGGUAUUUUUUACUCAAAAUACAAAAUUGGGGGGUGUUUUUUUUACAAUUUAGCGUUUUUUUUGUGUUUUUUCUAGGCCAAUAUCAAUUUAUACCUCUGAACUUUAGAUGUUGUAUCAAUUUAAACUUUGAACUUUCUUAUAUGCAUCAAUUUAAACUCUCAACUUUCACAAAUGUGUCCAAGUAAAACAUAAUGGACGAUUUAAAAUGAUUCAUGUUAUAAGUGUAAAGUCUAAAUUGAUACAAUUAAUAGUUUAGGGUCUAUAUUGAUACAAAUUUUAAAGUUGAGAGUUUAAAUUAAUACAAUUAUUAGUUUAAGGUUUAAAGUUCAUUGAUAUAAAUUGAAAUUAGCCCAAUUUUUUUUUAAAAAAAAACUUUAAACUAAUUAAAACUACGAGCCACUACCGUGAAGGCAUAAGUGAACCAAAGUAGGAAAGAUCAAGCCUAAGUUUUUCAAUGACUGACUCAACUUUGAAUCACUCUACUUUGUGGUACAGUCAACUCUUCCCUUUUUUAUUGAGUCAAGUUAAGUCGAAGCAACGAGACCUAGUGUCAUGCCCUACUCCAAAUGACUCUUCAUGCGACCAAGUGGAGGCAUGUCGCCUAGACAAUCAAUGCACAACUUCUGCGAGAUGGUACGCUAAACACCUAGUAAGCGGAACUACUUCUUACAGCACAAGGUUAAGCGCACAAUUUGUACUUUAAUGAAACAAGAGAACUUCAUUGAUAGACAAUUUACAAGAGUACAUUUGAUUCCUAUUACACAAAUCGUUCAAAAGAGGACACAGACUCAACAACGACUUGACUUUUCCCCACUUAGCUUCUACAUGCUACACGAGAUAAUAGUAGCCACUACCAAGACAAUGUGAUUUAGGAGGUACGGUAGACGAUCAAGACAGCAAAUUCUAUGUCAGAUGUCCUUUGCUACCUAAGGGGGAUGAAAUAAACAUUAGAAGGGUUGGGCGAAAAUGUCUAGUGAAUGGAAUCUCUUAACAGAUGUUUUAUGUAAAUUAAUCGUUUUUUUACCAGAUAAUCAGCUCCAGAACAGGUAUUAUAGCAAAAUGUGUCGAAUGUCAUUUAUCUCUUACAACACUACUCCGAAGAAAGAAUUUAUUUAAAACAAUAUAAUAGUGUUAAUAAUAAAAAAGAUCAAGAUUGAGGAUAAACACAUUACCUUCGUCAUUUUAUGAGUUUUGUCCUCCCACGUUAUGCAAACUUGUUGGAAGCUUUGGCAAUAGUUGUGGCUGAAUGUUGAAGCAAUCAUUCAAGUACAAUGCUAUUAAGUUAGUAAGUCGAGGGAGGCUUUGUUUGAGCCUUACAAAAGAAUUCUUGCUAAGGUCAAGAAUUUCCAAUAAGAAAAGACAUUUGAUAUCAUCACGAAUAUCUUCGUCCACAAUAUUGCAAUCACUUAGAUUCAAAUCUCUAAUAGGCAAAACAUCAUUACUCCCAACCAAAUCAUUCAAUGACCACCAAAUAUUUUUUGAAAGCCUUUCACAAUUCAAAGUUUCAAGACUCUUUAAACGAGCGAUAGCAUUUGGUGCUUGAUCUAUAAAUGUUCCUCCAUUGUCAAGCAUGGUAAGAGAUUGUAUUGUCCCCAAAGUGAAAGGAAAUUUGGUGGAGGUUUUUGCAGCCAUUCAAAUUGAGAGUUUGAAGUGAUAUCAAUUUUCAAAUUGAUGUUGGAAGACUUGAUAGCUUAGUACAAUCCCUUAGGUUCAAUUAAGUUAAGUGAGCUAGAAGUCCAAAUGAUGAAGGAAGGUCUUGUAUAAGAGUUCCAUCAAGGUGAAGUUCAGUUAAAGUUUUGGUUGGUUUUUCAAUCUUUGGUAAAGAUUUAAGGCAUAAAUUGGAAAGAAUUAAUGUUUGGAAUCUUUUGCAAGUUACUAGUUUAGAUGGAAAUGUUUUGAGAUUGACACAAUUUGCCAUAUGAACUAAAACAAGAUGGUUGAGAGUAGUAAUGGAAGAAUGAAUCACACACAAUCUUGCACAAUUCCUUGACAUCAACCUUUGGAGAUUUGGAAGCUUGGGUCUCAACCAAAUUCUGUGAUCCACUCACAUCAAACUCUUUCAACCUACUAAAUUCAUGUGGAAAACAAGUCCACACCAUCACAUUAGAUACCACUCUACUUCUCAAAUUCUUACCCAAAAAUAAAAGGAGAGUUGAAAAUUUGGUCAUUUGAAAAAGAGGAAGAAAAAUUCUUGAGAGAGAGUCGACUGAGAAAGUUGUUUAGAGAGAAUCUCUACAAGGAAUUUUUUUUUGAAGCAAAUAUUCCCAAUGUAGGUUUUAUUUAUUCACUUUAUUACUAUAUUUAUUUUUUUUCUUUAUCCUAAACAAUUUAAUCAAUGGAAAAUUUAGUUGAAUAGUGCAUUUGGCUCGGAUUUAUUUCCAAGAAUUCAUACCUCAUACGACAAGUCUUUCGGAUUUGAAUCAUUGUUUUUUUCUCUUUCUAAAGGUUGUGAGAGAAUUUAUUUUCUCUCGCUACUUUUUUGUAUAGUUAUUUCUUUUUCUAAAAAGACAAAUCUUUAGUCUUUUUCUUCUCACUAACAAAAAUAGAGAGAAAGAAAAGUGUUUUGUUUUUUAAUUUUUAACUAUCAUAUAUUUGUUUAAAAUAAUAUUAAAAACAUGACAUUAAUAUAAUUGUGAGAGUAAGAUCAACAAAGUAAAUACAAUAUCAAAUUUGGUCCUAACCUACUAUAAAUUAAUAAAUCCAUAUCCUAAUUUUGGUAGAUAAAAAUAAAUCCUACUCAAAUCUUUUAUAAUGAUUUCAUAUGAGUUAUCUAAUAAAUGCUAAUUACUUCUUCUCUAAUAUUCAAUUUUCUUAUUAUACUUAGACAUUACUAAUGUAAAGUGAGGGUGGUACGUUUCCUUUGACCAAAAUUUGAUAUCAUAUGCAUGUUACAUAUACGUGUGUGCAACAUGUAGAGAGUAGUGAAGGGGUGAACAUAGAUAUUGGGGAGAGAUCUACACAAUCAUGUACCAAAUUUAAAUGAUCCUGGUAAACGAUUGUUUAUAUUCGUAAGGAAAGAGAAAUGACAUGAUACUGGAGAUGACGCCGAAGGUAAGAUAUGACAAAGAAUAAAAAAAUUAUGGAAGAGUCACGAAGAAAUUAUGAAUAAGAAGAUGUGGGAAUAUGGAGAAUGAUUAGGACUAUGAUAUAUGAUACCUAAUAAUAUAAAAAAAAUGUGCAAGCAUAACUCGAAAUUCAAAACUAAUAAAGGUAAAUCUAGAUUUUUUUUGUUACACGGAUCAUAAAUAUUUUUUAGUUUUGUUAUAUAUAUGUGUGUUUAAUUAACCAUUUUUUAUUUAUUCAAUCUAAUUUAAUUUUUGUUUUCAUAUGAUUUUUUUUAUUAAUUCAAAUUUUAUUCUAGUGUUUUUUUUAAUAAUUAUAUAUAUAUAUAUAUAUAUAUAUAUAUAUAUAUAUAUAUGACAACAAAUAUGUGUCAUUUAUAUUGUUCACAAAUGACCUUCUCAUUAACCUCUAUGUGAAAACCUAAAUCACUUAUAUGUGACUCUGCCUUCUAGCCAUCGAUCUAUUUUGCUACUUUGGUGAGUAUUCGAUUAAGUUUUGGUACUUCCAUCAAAUAUCUCAAAUAUCUAUUUUUUUUUAAUUAUCCCAAAAAGUUGAUCUGAUUUUAACCAAAAUUGUAAAUCCCAAAAAGUUGAUUGAUUUUAACCAAAAUUGUUGAUUGAGUUAACUAAGCUAAGACGCAUAACUUGAUUGAUAUGAAUGAUUGAAAUGUUAUGACAAAUGAUAUAUUAAUCACAUGACAACGACGUUCCGAUUGAUAUUUAUGUCAUGUUAUAAUAUGUUACAUGUUAUGGACAAGUGUUCUACUAACUUUAUCUAAUUACAAGUAAUUCCUAAAAAUUUACGGUCUUCAAUUAAUACAAAAUAAAUAAAUUACAACGAUUAAUAUCGAUAAAUUAAAAAUUAAUGAAAACAUAGAUUUUAAAAUUAAAAAAAAGGUUGAAAGAUAGAUUAGUAUUAAAUUAAAAAUGAAAGAAUUUAGUUUUUAAAAAUGAAAAAUAAAAUUCAAAAUGAAUAAAGAUUAAAAAAAAGUAUAAUUUAGUUUUUAAGAAUAAAAUUAAAAUUCACAAAGAUAAAAAGAUUACAUGAAUUUUUAUUAAAAAAGUACAAUUUAGUUUUCAGAAAUGAAAAUUAAGAUUCAAAUAGAAUAAAGAUACAAAAAUUAUAUAAAAAAUAAAGAAAAAAAAGUUGAUUUAGUUUUUUUAAAAAAUCAAAUUGGAAAAAGAAAAUAUAUAUAGAGAGAGGUCCACAAAUUCUUUUAUAAACAAAAAUUAUAGAGUUUGAUAAUCUAAAUAAAUUAGGAACUAAUACACAUUCAAGAAGAUUAUAUUACAAAAAAUAUAUAGUUAAUUUUAAGUUUUAGGUAAAAGUAAUAAAUUGAAUAAAAUUUCAAGUAAAUAUUCAAAUAUUAAAAAUUUAAAUUUUAAAUAUACACGUGCAAUUAAAGACUAGUAAAUAUUCAAAUACUAAACACCCAUAUUUCAUUUGGAUUCAUAAGUAAAGUGUGUAAGAAAAAUUAUGAAGGCAAUGAGAAAGGAAUUGGUAAAUAAUGUGUUGAAACAAAAACGAUAAAUGUAUUAAGCAAUAAAUAAGAACUCAUAACAAGUCGUUUGAAAUAAAACAGCCAUAAAACAUAGAAAUUUCAAAGAUAAAAAUGGAAGACUUGCCACCGCCGAUCAAGCACCCAAUUCUGCGAAAAGCUACUCACCGACCAUGGAGGAAACUUGAAGACAUAACCAACCAGACACACACAACACACAACCCAACAACCACAGAACGUAUUAAUAAGCUUCCAGUCAUCAUGAUGAUUAACAUCAAGCCGUUGGCCGCCAACGGCUACUCGCACCAUUCACUUCCCUGAUUUCUUUGCUGCAGACUUGGUGACCUUGGCGCCGGAUGCAUCCUUCUUCUCAACGGCCUUGAUGACACCAACAGCCACAGUUUGACGCAUGUCCCUCACGGCAAAUCGUCCAAGAGGGGGAUACGCAGAGAAUGUUUCUACCACCAUGGGCUUGGUGGGAAUCAUCUUAACAAAUCCAGCAUCUCCGUUCUUCAAAAACUUGGGCUCUUUCUCCAGUUCUUUACCAGAUCGCCUGUCAAUCUUAGUUAAAAUCUCGGCAAAUUUGACAGCAAUGUGAGAUGUGUGGCAAUCGAGUACAGGUGCAUAACCAUUUCCAAUCUGUCCUGGAUGGUUCAUGAUGAUAACUUGGGACGUGAAAUUGGCAGCUUCCUUGGCAGGAUCAUCCUUGGAAUUUGAGGCAACAUAACCACGCUUGAGAUCCUUCACAGCAACAUUCUUCACGUUGAACCCCACGUUGUCACCAGGGAGAGCUUCUUGGAGAGCUUCGUGGUGCAUCUCCACAGACUUAACUUCAGUAGUCAGUCCAGAUGGAGCAAAGGUUACCACCAUACCAGGCUUUAUAAUGCCAGUUUCAACACGACCCACUGGAACAGUUCCAAUACCUCCAAUCUUGUAGACAUCCUGAAGUGGAAGACGAAGGGGUUUGUCAGAUGGCCUCUUAGGCUCUUGGAUCAGAUCGAGAGCCUCAAGAAGGGUCGGUCCUUGUACCAGUCGAGGUUGGUGGAUCUUUCAAUCAUGUUGUCACCCUCAAAGCCAGAGAUGGGGACGAAGGGAAUUUUUUCUGGGUUGUAGCCAACCUUCUUGAGGUAGGAAGAAACUUCCUUCACAAUUUCAUCGUACCUAGAUUUCGAGUACUUGGGCGUGGUGGCAUCCAUCUGUCACAUAAAUAGCCAAGUCAGUAAGUAACAAAACACGAAAAAACCAGAAUACUAAAGAAUCGGGAUUGACUAUAAACAUUAUCACCUUGUUACAGCAGCAAAUCAUUUGCUUGACACCAAGGGUAAAUGCAAGAAGGGCGUGUUCACGGGUCUGCCCAUCCUUAGAAAUACCAGCUUCAAAACCUCCAGUAGUGGAGUCGAUAAUAAGAACAGCACAGUCAGCCUGGGAAGUACCAGUAAUCAUGUUCUUGAUGAAAUCACGAUGCCCAGGAGCAUCAAUCACAGUGCAGUAAUACUUGGUGGUCUCGAACUUCCACAGAGGAAUAUCAAUUGUGAUACCACGCUCACGUUCGGCCUUCAGUUUGUCCAACACCCAGGCAUACUUGAACGAUCUCUUGUUCAUCUCAGCAGCUUCCUUCUCAAACCUCUCAAUAACACGCUUGUCAAUACCUCCAAGCUUGUAAAUCAAAUGGCCAGUAGUGGUCGACUUGCCAGAGUCGACAUGACCAAUGACCACAAUGUUGAUGUGAGUCUUUUCCUUACCCAUGCUUGAAUAUUAGGUAAAAGAUCUGUGAAACAAGAAAAAGUACGAAAAAUAAAUAAUAAAAAGAGUUGAUAGAAAAUAAGAAAAAGGAAGAUUAAAGAGGCAAAAAAAAAGCUCAUUAUUGAGACUUUCUGAACUUCACAUAUGGUAUUUGUAAAUCUAAAAUACCCACUCUAAUCUAAACCUCUAAACCUCGAUAAUCUAAACCUCUAAACCUCGAUGAUUAUCAAAAAAAAAAUUCUCAGAACUAACAAAUAAAAUAAACUGAAAAACAAAUUAAAAUGAAUCCAAUCCAAUCAGACUAGAUUAAAUGCAGACUAGAUUAAAUGCAGAUCUACAGAAGAUUAUCAACAACAACACUUACGUCGCAAAUAAAAUCGGCCAAUUCAAAACAAAACAAUGACAAAUAUGCAUAAAAGAUAAACAGGAAGAAUAGAAGAAUAAAAGAUAACGAAAAGCUCAUUAAUAAAGAAGUAAUACAAAAUAUAAAACAAAACUAGACUUCAUGAUCUACAAGAGAAGAACAAUAAAACGAAACUAGACUUCAUGAUCUACAAGAGAAGAACAAUAAGAGCUCUAAAAAUCAACAAGAAAAAUGAAGAAAACCUGAGGAGAAAGGUGUGCUGUUAAACCCUUGCGGCGAGAGAUGAGGAAUGAAAACUAGAUUGGAGGGGUUAAUAAUAGGGUUUGAGGAUUGUUAUAUAGUAUGUCUAAACAUGUUUUGUUGACGAAAAUACCCUCAACCAAAUUUCAUAAUUCAGUAGACCUAAACAGUAAAAAGUUGUAUUGAAACAGAAAAAGAUAAACAGUUUAAAAUAUCUCUUCAUUUAUUUGAAAUUAUUAUUUACCAUUACAAAUUUUAUGUUUGUUCACAUCUUCUAAAAAAUUUAGAUAUACAUCUCAAUGUUUAUUUGUUUAUUAUGGUUUAUAAUAAUUUUAUUUGAAAUAAUUAUAAUAGAUAGUAAUUUUAUGAAUAAUAAUUAAAUGUAUAACAAUUAUUUUUAAAAAAUUACAAAUAUAAAAAAGUAUAACAAUUAUUUUUAAAAAAUUACAAAUAUAAAAAAGUAUAUUUAGAGUGAACUUAUUUUAGUCGUAUCAGUUAUAAUAAUAUUGGUUGGGUUGAGAAUGUCUUCCAACCUAACCUAACCUAAUCUGAUUUAACUCCUACUUAUCGUUAACUUUUGGUUUUUCUUUUUAUAGGAUUAUAGUGGAAACCUGAGCUUAUUCUUUACAUAUUCUACAGCUUCUCAUUUUAGUGGAAAAUUUGAAUAAAGAGUUCAUAUCAAAUUAAACAAUUUGUUAAAAUAAUAAAGUUUAAAUAAAUGUGAUUUGAAAUAAAUUUAAUUUAUAGAAAAAAAACUAUAAUUUAAAAUAUAUUUUCUAGGAUGAAAGGUGAUGUUAUAUGGGAGUGAACUAUAUUUUCCAUCUAUAAGUUUUGUUUAUAAUUAGUACAUGGAUGUUAAUAAUUUUUUAUGAAUAUAUAAAUAAAUAUUGAUUUUAAUGAUAAAAAGUCCAUUCUUAUUUAAACAUAUACCUAAAUUUUAUAAUAAUUUUGUUUAGAGUUUUUAUCGAAUAUUAAUUACUUUUAUGAAAAUAAAAUAAUUUUAAUGAAAAAUCUAUUCUUAUUUAUAAUAAUUAUAAAUAUAACAAAAUAUUAAUAUAUUAAUAUGUACCAUCGAUAUAACAAAAUAAAAAAACUUAAGAAGUGGACCAUUUUUUAAAAUCCCAACAGGUUUGCUUUUUCUUUUUAUCUUUUUUCUUCGAUUUUUUUUUAUAUUUUUUGAAAUCAUAAUAUUUGAUCAAAAUAAUUUUUUAUUAUUUUUUUCGAGUGUUACUAGUUUAAGAUUGUGUACCAAAUAAAUGAAAUGUUGGUAUAUUUAGAUUUUGAAAAAUUAUUGUUCAUAUUGGUACAAAAUCUUAGAUUUGAGUAGCGAAAUCUAAGCUAUAUGAUAAUGAAUUUUGAAAAAAAAAUGCAAAUCUAACUAUCAUUGUGUACCAAAUCUAAACAAAUCAUGUACGGAAUAUUUACCAUACAUUCUUUCCAAACUAAAAUUUUAAGGUAAAUAUUAAUAUAAUCUUAAAGAGUUGUAUCAAUUAAAAGACUAAAUUAAUAAUUGUAACAACUUAACUCUUUAAGUUUAGAAAGUAACCAUCCAUUUCAGAUCUUGUUCAACUAAUAUGGUGUGGCAUUAAACUCUUAAAAUUUUAUACGUUGGUAAAUUUAGAUAUUUCUUUUUAAUUAUCUUAAAAUGCCACAUAUAUGUACUACUUUGGAAAGAAUUUUGAAUUAUGAUUAAGUAUUAGGAUAUAUACUCAUGUAUGUGGUUUAUACAUAUAUACUCAUGUAUUAAGAAAAAUGUUUUAUCCUUACUUUGUAUAAAAGUUUGUAAUAAUUAAUAUACAAAUCAAAUGUUGAAAUAUGUUUCCUAAUAUUACGAGUCUAAGGUCGUGUGUGUGAUUUUUUAACAUUUUCGGUUUUUAAUUUUGAAAAACAAUUCAUCUUGAAAAAAAAAUUAUUCAAAAAAUAUAUUUUUGCAACAUUUUCAAAAUUAUUUUAAAUAUUUUUUAUCAAAAGUAUUUAGAAAAUGAAAAUUAGGAUAAAUGAUAAAAACAAUAAAAAUAUUUACAAAAUUUAAUAUUUACUAAAUCUUUACUCGAUAUUUUAUCUCUAUGUCUUGAAAAAUACAUUAAAAUUUAGUCCAUAUAUUUGAUGAGUAGGACUUAGUUUCUAUACUUUUUGAUCAAACUCUCAUAAAUAGUCCUUAAAUUUAUAAUGAUUUUAUUAAAACUUUGGGAAAAGACUUCAUCAAACAUAAAGAUUGGAUUUAAAUUUUCUCUAAAUUAAAGUGUAUAUGACCCAAUCAAUAAUGUAAUUUAGUCUUACUUGACUUUAAAACCAUAAAUUAUGGGUAGAAUUAGAAGUAAACAAUAAUAGCAUAGCAAAUGAAAUCAAACUCAAAGUUAACCCAACAAAAGUUCACUUAUACAAGUACUCAAACCAUCCCCACCAAAUAAUGUAUCCAAUAGAUCACUUAUGAAAAACAUCCCACCAACGAAAAUAAAAAUUGUAUAGCAAUAACCUAUAAGACAACAAGAGAAACAGCAGUCCUUCCCCACCGACGAUCAAGAACCCAAUUCUGUGAAAACUCACUAGGGAAAGGGAGAAAAGUUUUGAAAAGAAAACAGACACAAAACACAACACAUAAUUCAAACCGCACAAUUCACUUACCAGAUUUCUUAGCAGCUGAUUUGGUGACCUUAGCACCACUUGGGUCCUUCUUUUCGACGCUCUUGAUCACACCAACAGCCACAGUUUGCCGCAUGUCUCUGACCGCAAAUCUCCCAAGUGGUGGAUACUCAGAGAACGUUUCCACCACCAUAGGCUUAGUGGGGAUCAUCUUAACGAAUCCAGCAUCACCAUUUUUCAAGAAUUUAGGCUCUUUCUCCAGUUCUUUACCAGAUCUUCUAUCAAUCUUUGUUAGAAUCUCCCCAAACUUGACUGCAAUGUGAGAGGUGUGGCAGUCAAGAACAGGGGCAUAACCAUUUCCAAUCUGUCCUGGAUGGUUCAUGAUGAUAACUUGUGAGGUGAAACUAGCAGCUUCUUUGGCUGGAUCAUCUUUCGAAUUUGAUGCAACAUAGCCACGUUUGAGAUCUUUUACAGCGACAUUCUUCACGUUGAAUCCCACAUUGUCACCAGGGAGAGCUUCUUGGAGAGCUUCAUGGUGCAUUUCAACAGAUUUUACUUCAGUAGUGAGGCCAGUUGGAGCGAAG